UAUUAAAAAUUUCAUCCACUUAUACGGUUAAAAACUAGCAUGAUUAAAGGAAUAACCAAACAACGACAUGUGAUGUGCCAUAUGUACCUCAUGCUGAUGUGCAAUAACCAACUUUUAGCAACAGAAAUAGAUAAAGUAAAUAAUA
Molecule: non-coding RNA, 145 nt
Organism: Gossypium raimondii (Peruvian cotton)
Lineage: Eukaryota; Viridiplantae; Streptophyta; Magnoliopsida; Malvales; Malvaceae
Source: Rfam